GACGAACGCUGGCGGCGUGCCUAAUACAUGCAAGUAGAACGCUGAAGGAGGAGCUUGCUUCUCUGGAUGAGUUGCGAACGGGUGAGUAACGCGUAGGUAACCUGCCUGGUAGCGGGGGAUAACUAUUGGAAACGAUAGCUAAUACCGCAUAAUAGCAGUUGUUGCAUGACAACUGUUUGAAAGGUGCAAUUGCACCACUACCAGAUGGACCUGCGUUGUAUUAGCUAGUUGGUGGGGUAACGGCUCACCAAGGCGACGAUACGUAGCCGACCUGAGAGGGUGGUCAGCCACACUGAGACGGAGACACGGCCCAGAGGCCUACAGGUGGGAGCAGUAGGGAAUCGGCGGGAAGGGGCGGAAGUCUGACCGAGCAACGCCGCGGGAGUGAAGAGGGUUGUCGGAUCGGAAAGCUCGGUUGUAAGAGAAGAACGAGUGUUAGAGUGGAAAGUUCACACUGUGACGGUAUCGGAUCAGAAAGGGACGGCUAACUACGUG
Molecule: ribosomal RNA, 495 nt
Filed under: uncultured bacterium
Lineage: Bacteria
Description: partial 16S ribosomal RNA
Rfam family: Bacterial small subunit ribosomal RNA
Source: RNAcentral